RNAcentral lists this long non-coding RNA (1680 nucleotides) under Homo sapiens (human). RNAcentral describes it as "HSALNT0276472". The record is from RNAcentral. Lineage: Eukaryota; Metazoa; Chordata; Mammalia; Primates; Hominidae.
GGUGUGAACACUUCCUUCUGCCUACCCAGCAUGUCACUUUCCCAAAGCAGGGUCUCAGAGAUACAGAAUUGCACAGAGAGAGUCCCAGUCCACAGAGAAGGUGAAAACAUAAAUGAUCUCGAGUGUUGCUGACUCUCACAUCCAACAGAGCAUCCAACAGAGGCUCACACAGGUGGCCAUCUGACCAAAGCCAGCCCUCUGUAAGUUGACUUAGCCUAUGUAGCAUUUUAAAAAAUAUCUUCAUUGGUCUCUGAAAUUUAAAAGUUGAGAUAUUUCACAUUAAAAAAAAAAAACAAAAAAAAACACAAGAUUGCUGGUGUAGAAGAGAAAAGUGUCCUUCAUUUUGCCAUGUGCUGGCCUCACUUUUUAUUGUACAUUUCUGGCCAGUCUCCUGGGGGGCACUUGAGUUUGCAACUCCCAUGUGUACAGGGCUCUGGGGUUCGGGAGGGAGAAACAUAAGCAUGUAGGCCAAAGACUCAGUGAAAGCCCCAGUUUUGGGAGGAUUUUCUGGUCUUGCUUGGAGAAAGAUGACUCACGAGGCCAGCAUGUGUCUCUUGCCGAGCCAGGUUUCCUUUCCUACUUUGUUUUUAUAAAGCAGAAAUAGAAGUUUCCAUAACGUGGUGCAACUCCACCCAGCAGGCCUUGGGAAGCCGCUGCUAUCUGUGAGCGUCCAAGGGAGAGCUUUGGUUGGGAGCCUGCUAUUGCUCAUGGAGCUGUGAGCACAGCGGGACAGCAUGUGCUCGUCUCCACUGUUGGCUCUGCCUGAAGAUGGGGACUCCGUACUGCGUUCCUCCUUGGGUGAGACUGUCAAAGAGCUGGGUCCCUCAGGCCACAAAAGAGUGGGGUAGGAGAAUCAGAGACUUAGUCCAGGUUCUACAACUAACCAAUCCAUCUAUUUAUCAUCCAUCCAUCCAUCCAUCCAUCCAUCAUCCAUCCAUACAUCAUACAUCCAUCUAUCCAUCCAUCCAUCUAUCCAUCCAUCCAUUCAUCCAUCCAUCCAUCCAUCCAUCCAUCCAUCCAUCCUUUUAUCCAUCCAUCCAUCCAUCCAUCCAUCCAUCCAUCCUUUUAUCCAUCCAUCUAAGGACUGUUUAUUGAGCACCUACCAUGUUUCAGACACCCCAUGCUAUACUUUGAAGAGACAGAAAUAAAAUAGACACAGACUGCACUAUCCUCAUAAAGUCUACAGUCAGGUGGGAAAGGCAGAUAUCAAAAAUGUAGUAAUAGAUGAAGAUUUGGGAGCAACCAAAACGUCCAUUGAUAGAUUGGUUAAAUGCAAUUUGGCUUAUUCUAGCAUGAGAUACCAUGUGGCCCUUAAAUGAAGCAGAUCCCUAUAUGGUGACAGAACAACACCUAAGUGACAAAAGUGAAGGCACAGGCAAUGACUGCACUUCAUGUCCAUUUCUACAAAACAAGAGCCUUGGAUAGGCUUUGAUAUAUUGGUUCUUGUAGAGAAGGUCUCUGGAAGGAUCUGCAGGAAAUUGGGAAAAGUUGGUGUCUAGUGAGAAAGCUGGGGUACUAGGGUUCAAAGAGGUGAGAGAGUUUUUGUGCUGCUUGAAUGUUUUAUUUUGAAUGUUUUAUUUUUUGAAUGUGUAAUGUUUUGUCAAUAAUAUGGCAAGGAAAUUUUAGAGAUGUUGGUCAAAGAAUACAAAAUUUCAGUUAGACAGGAGGAAUAAAUUCGAG